AUACGGAGGGAGCAAGCGUUAUUCGGAAUCACUGGGCGUAAAGGACGCGUAGGCGGGUUUGUAAGUCAGGUGUGAAAUCCUACAGCUCAACUGUAGAACUGCACUUGAAACUACAGACCUAGAGUAUGGAAGGGGCAGAUGGAAUUAGUGGUGUAGGGGUAAAGUCCGUAGAUAUCACUAGGAAUACCGAAAGCGAAGGCGAUCUGCUGGGACAUUACUGACGCUGAGGCGUGAAAGCGUGGGGAGCAAACAGGAUUAGAAACCCUAGUAGUCC
Molecule: ribosomal RNA, 274 nt
Filed under: uncultured bacterium
Lineage: Bacteria
Description: partial 16S ribosomal RNA
Rfam family: Bacterial small subunit ribosomal RNA
Source: RNAcentral